Brassica oleracea var. oleracea is the source of this 742-nucleotide RNA transcript. RefSeq lists it as uncharacterized. Lineage: Eukaryota; Viridiplantae; Streptophyta; Magnoliopsida; Brassicales; Brassicaceae. The record is from RefSeq and is a predicted model, not a curated record. The transcript has 5 exons.
GCCGAGUUAGUUCAUAAUUUUGCUGAAGAAAGUUUCCAUGGCCACCGCUUCUGUCAUUUAUGAUUCUGUGAACUUCUCCUACUUUUUUUUUUGAUUUUGACGAUGAUGAUAUAAAUGUGCAUUUUUCCCAAGAUGAGAUUUCACGAGUUGGAGCCUGCUGUAUUGUCAAUGUCAAGAAUCAAUAUGUCAGGCCUUCUAAUGAAGAUCCACUUCAAGCUUUAAUCCAGGACACGUUUUUGGACAAAGCAGAAUCCAGUCUCCUUCUUUUCAGUUAUGUAAGUCAUACAAUUUGCUUCCAGCGCAGAGCUGUUGAGUGUCCUGCUAUUUUGGAAACCAGUGUUGAAUAGGAUUACUUCUUCAAAUUCAGUCAUGGAAACAUGAUUUCAACGUAUAAAAACUUCUCAUUAAAAAAUGAAUUUUCUGUGGUGUGAUUGACAAGGAUCAGUUUGAGGACUAUGGGUUGGCUUAUACAUACCCAAAGCUUUAUGGUUCAAGUGCUGCAGGAAACCUGCUUUCUGUUUUUAGUUGUCUCUUCACGGUUUUCCUUCGGGGUUUUUCUCUUUAUAUGGAUUUAGAGAGGACGAAGCAACUUCAAAAAUGUGAAGUGGUUUGUCAAAAAAAGUACUCUAUAAGACCUUUGGCCUUGAUGUCAAUGCGCAGAUAAAUAGGUAUUCAGAACGAUGGAGGAAAACGAAGAAAUGGAAAAGCAAAGAGAAAUGCGAGAGGAAGGAAUGGACACGGU